UUAAUUGAAGAGUUUGAUCAUGGCUCAGAUUGAACGCUGGCGGCAGGCCUAACACAUGCAAGUCGAGCGGUAACAGGAGAAAGCUUGCUUUCUUGCUGACGAGCGGCGGACGGGUGAGUAAUGUAUGGGGAUCUGCCCGAUAGAGGGGGAUAACUACUGGAAACGGUGGCUAAUACCGCAUAAUGUCUACGGACCAAAGCAGGGGCUCUUCGGACCUUGCACUAUCGGAUGAACCCAUAUGGGAUUAGCUAGUAGGUGGGGUAAAGGCUCACCUAGGCGACGAUCUCUAGCUGGUCUGAGAGGAUGAUCAGCCACACUGGGACUGAGACACGGCCCAGACUCCUACGGGAGGCAGCAGUGGGGAAUAUUGCACAAUGGGCGCAAGCCUG
Molecule: ribosomal RNA, 389 nt
Filed under: Proteus mirabilis
Lineage: Bacteria; Pseudomonadati; Pseudomonadota; Gammaproteobacteria; Enterobacterales; Morganellaceae
Description: bacterial SSU rRNA
Rfam family: Bacterial small subunit ribosomal RNA
Source: RNAcentral